GGAUCAUUACCGAGUUAGGGUCUCCCAGGCCCGAGUCUCCCAACCCUUUGUUUACUCACCCGACGUUGCUUCGGCGGGCCCGUCCCCCGGGACCGCCGGGGGGUCCUGACAGAUCCUCUGGCCCGCGCCCGCCGGGAGCCUCUUGAACUCAACUAAAUUCGUGUCCCCGGUCUGAGCACACCUUCUGAAAUGAAGAAACAAAACUUUCAACAACGGAUCUCUUGGUUCUGGCAUCGAUGAAGAACGCAGCGAAAUGCGAUAAGUAAUGCGAAUUGCAGAAUUCCAGUGAGUCAUCGAAUCUUUGAACGCACAUUGCGCCCUUUGGUAUUCCGAAGGGCAUGCCUGUUCGAGCGUCAUUAGUCACCCCUCAAGCCCCCUGGGUUUGGCCUUGGAGCGUCUAGGUCCCGGGACCCCCCGGACCCCUCCCAAAGUGAACGACGGCGGCCCGUCCGACCCCCGGUACACCGAGCUCCUUAACCGGGCCCGUAUCGGUCUAAAGUGGUCGGCGGCCGACGGUCUCCUCCCGGCCACGGGAAAAGGAACUCUGUUCCAUCACCAGGUUGACCUCGGAUCAGGUAGGGAUACCCGCUGAACUUAAGCAUAUCAAUAAGCGGAGGAAAAGAAACCAACAGGGAUUGCCUCAGUAACGGCGAGUGAAGCGGCACCAGCUCAAAUUUGAAAUCUGGCUCCUCUCCGGGGCCCGAGUUGUAAUUUGCAGAGGAUGUUUCGGGCACCGCCCCGGUCUAAAUUUCUUGGAACAGAAUGUCAGAGAGGGUGAGAAUCCCGUCCUGGACCGGCGGUAGGGCCCAUGUGAAACUCCCUCGACGAGUCGAGUUGUUUGGGAAUGCAGCUCAAAAUGGGUGGUAAAUUUCAUCUAAAGCUAAAUAUUGGCCAGAGACCGAUAGCGCACAAGUAGAGUGAUCGAAAGAUGAAAAGCACUUUGAAAAGAGAGUUAAACAGUAUGUGAAAUUGUUGAAAGGGAAGCGCUUGCAACCAGACUUGAGCGCGGCGGUUCCCCUUCCUUUUGGUUGGGUUACUCCGCCGUGUCCAGGCCAACAUCGGUUCUGGGGGUCGGUCAAAGGCCCCGGGAAUGUACCUACCCCUCCGGGGUAGACUUAUAGCCCGGGGUGUCAUGCGACCCCCCGGGACCGAGGAACGCGCUUCGGCUCGGAUGUUGGCGUAAUGGUUGUCAGCGACCCGUCUUGAAACACGGACCAAGGAGUCUAACAUCUAUGCGAGUGUUUGGGUGUCAAACCCGGAACGCGGAAUGAAAGUGAACGGAGGUAGGAAGCUUCGGCUGCACUAUCGACCGAUCCUGAUGUCUUCGGAUGGAUUUGAGUAAGAGCAUAGCUGUUGGGACCCGAAAGAUGGUGAUCUAUACCUGAAUAGGGUGAAGCCAGAGGAAACUCUGGUGGAGGCUCGCAGCGGUUCUGACGUGCAAAUCGAUCGUCAAAUUUGGGUAUAGGGCGAAAGACUAAUCGAACCAU
Molecule: ribosomal RNA, 1487 nt
Filed under: Capronia dactylotricha
Lineage: Eukaryota; Fungi; Ascomycota; Eurotiomycetes; Chaetothyriales; Herpotrichiellaceae
Description: eukaryotic LSU rRNA
Rfam family: Eukaryotic large subunit ribosomal RNA (bases 562-1487)
Source: RNAcentral